Molecule: long non-coding RNA, 665 nt
Organism: Lolium rigidum
Lineage: Eukaryota; Viridiplantae; Streptophyta; Magnoliopsida; Poales; Poaceae
Exons: 2
Source: RefSeq, a predicted model, not a curated record
ACCAGGAGCUCGCCCCAAAUUGCGACCUUGCAGCCUCCGUGGAGUCGCUGCUGCAGCUCGCCCCAAAUCGCGAGCUUGCAGCCUCCACGAAGUCUCCGCCGCACCAGGAGCGCACCCAAAAUUGGGACUUUGCUUCCUCCAAGUCCGCUCCAGCCUCCAGGAGCUCGCGCCAAGAGUACAUAGGCUUCAGGAACUCAAGCUUAUGGGAGGAAGAGCAGGUGCACACACAGAGCGAUUCCAGAGAGCGAUUCCAGCGGCCACUCGAGCAAGAAAUGUGUGUAUCCAAGAUUGGAGGUUCCACCAACUACUUCUCCAGAAAAGACAUGUGCUGCCUUUGGUGCAAUGCCAGCGUGAUCUGCUGCAUCUAUGUCCAUUGCAUCCAAUGGACAAAUUUUCCGCUGAGAUGGGAUCAGGUGGAUCAUAUCUGGCCGGUAAAAGAUAUGAUUGUGCUCUGCCACAAAGUCAUGUAUUUGAUAUUUGUUAGUUCCCCUGUUCAAAAUAAUUCCCAUCCGUGCAUUACAUCCUGUUCUUGUUUCAGCUCGCGAAGACUUGUAUUGAUCCUCGCGUUUAUCUCUUGAUCGAUGACCUUCUUUUCCACACAAGAAUCUUGUUGAUGUCACCACUCCAUUCUUAUUUUUAUUACUAUAGUGUUUUCUAGCAUCAAA